RNAcentral lists this ribosomal RNA (435 nucleotides) under uncultured bacterium. Its description in RNAcentral is "bacterial SSU rRNA". It matches the Rfam family "Bacterial small subunit ribosomal RNA", at positions 959 to 1393 of the family's 1533-position model. The record is from RNAcentral.
ACGCGAAGAACCUUACCUGGGCUUGACAUGCACGGGAAAGCCGGUGGAAACACUGGCCCCUCUUCGGAGUCCGUGCACAGGUGCUGCAUGGCUGUCGUCAGCUCGUGUCGUGAGGUGUUGGGUUAAGUCCCGCAACGAGCGCAACCCCUAUUCUCAGUUGCCAGCACAUAAUGGUGGGCACUCUGUGGAGACUGCCCGGGUUAACCGGGAGGAAGGUGGGGAUGACGUCAAGUCAGCAUGGCCUUUAUGUCCGGGGCUACACACGUGCUACAAUGUCCAGUACAAUGUGAACCAAUACCGUGAGGUGGAGGAAAUCGUCAAAACUGGGCUCAGUUCGGAUUGUAGGCUGCAACUCGCCUACAUGAAGUUGGAAUCGCUACUAAUGCUGCAUCAGCUACGGCAGCGUGAAUACGUUCCCGGGUCUUGUACACACGC